Molecule: non-coding RNA, 161 nt
Filed under: Deltaproteobacteria bacterium
Lineage: Bacteria; Pseudomonadati; Myxococcota; Myxococcia
Source: RNAcentral
AAGGGAAGAUGGUGCGAGUCCAUCGCUGCCCCGCAACUGUAACCGGUGACGAAAUCCGCAACGGAGCCACUGCACGGGUGACGAGAACCCGGGCGGGAAGGCGCGGAGAGUAGGAGGGCGGCCCUCGAUGGGCCGCCGGGGAACCGGAAGCCAGGAGACCU